Molecule: ribosomal RNA, 279 nt
Filed under: uncultured bacterium
Lineage: Bacteria
Description: partial 16S ribosomal RNA
Rfam family: Bacterial small subunit ribosomal RNA
Source: RNAcentral
UGCCAGCAGCCGCGGUAAUACGGAGGGUGCAAGCGUUAAUCGGAAUUACUGGGCGUAAAGCGUGUGUAGGCGGUCUGCUAAGUCGGAUGUGAAAGCUCCUGGCUUAACUGGGAGAGGUCGUUGGAAACUGAUUGGCUUGAGGCAAUGAGAGGGGUACGGAAUUCCAGGUGUAGUGGUGGAAUGCGUAGAUAUCUGGAGGAACAUCAGUGGCGAAAGCGGUACCCUGGCAUUGACCUGACGCUCAUGUGCGAAAGCGUGGGGAGCGAACGGGAUUAGAUA